GCCUCCAUAGUUCAACGGAUAGAACGCAACCUUGCGGAGGUUGAAAUCGAGGUUCGAAUCCUCGUGGAGGCA
RNAcentral lists this transfer RNA (72 nucleotides) under Candidatus Pacearchaeota archaeon. RNAcentral describes it as "tRNA-Arg". It matches the Rfam family "tRNA". From Rfam's summary of the family: Transfer RNA (tRNA) molecules are approximately 80 nucleotides in length. Lineage: Archaea; Nanobdellati. The record is from RNAcentral.